AUAUUAUUAGGCGGAGGAAAAGAAACUAACCAGGAUUCCCUCAGUAACGGCGAGUGAAGCGGGAAGAGCUCAGGCUGAAAAUCCGCAAGGAGUUGUAGCCAAGCUAGGUCAGCUAUAAAGCGAGUAAAGUCUCCUGGAACGGAGCGCCGUAGAGGGUGACAGCCCCGUUGCUACUUGCUCUAAAAGCGUACGACCGGCUUUGUUUGAGUCGAGUUGUUUGGGAUUGCAGCUCUAAGUGGGUGGUAAAUUCCAUCUAAAGCUAAAUAUUGGUGGGAGACCGAUAGCGCACAAGUA
This 294-nucleotide ribosomal RNA is filed under the name uncultured eukaryote. RNAcentral describes it as "partial large subunit ribosomal RNA". It matches the Rfam family "Eukaryotic large subunit ribosomal RNA", at positions 40 to 350 of the family's 3401-position model. The record is from RNAcentral.